RNAcentral lists this ribosomal RNA (465 nucleotides) under uncultured bacterium. RNAcentral's name for it is "partial 16S ribosomal RNA". It matches the Rfam family "Bacterial small subunit ribosomal RNA", at positions 338 to 795 of the family's 1533-position model. The record is from RNAcentral.
CCUACGGGAGGCAGCAGUGGGGAAUAUUGCGCAAUGGGCGAAAGCCUGAAGCAGUGACGCCGCGUGAGGGAUGAAGGUCUUCGGAUCGUAAACCUCUGUCAGCAGGGAAGAAAGGUCACUGUGCUAAUCAGCAGUGAAUUGACGGUACCUGCAAAGGAAGCACCGGCUAACUCCGUGCCAGCAGCCGCGGUAAUACGGAGGGUGCGAGCGUUAAUCGGAAUUACUGGGGGUAAAGGGCUCGUAGGCGGUAGGUCAAAGCACGGGUGAAAUCCCCGCGCUCAACGUGGGAACUGCCUUUGAAACUGGAUAACUUGAGUGUGUGAGAGGAUAGUGGAAUUCCAGGUGUAGGAGUGAAAUCCGUAGAUAUCUGGAGGAACAUCGGUGGCGAAGGCGACAAUCUGGCACAUAACUGACGCUGAUGAGCGAAAGCGUGGGUAGCAAACAGGAUUAGAUACCCGUGUAGUC